CCUACGGGAGGCAGCAGUGGGGAAUCUUGCACAAUGGGGGAAACCCUGAUGCAGCGAUGCCGCGUGAGUGAAGAAGGCCCUUGGGUUGUAAAACUCUUUCGUCGGGGAAGAAAAUGACUGUACCCGAAUAAGAAGGUCCGGCUAACUUCGUGCCAGCAGCCGCGGUAAUACGAAGGGACCUAGCGUAGUUCGGAAUUACUGGGCUUAAAGAGCUCGUAGGUGGUUAAAAAAGUUGAUGGUGAAAUCCCAAGGCUCAACCUUGGAACUGCCAUCAAAACUUUUUAGCUAGAGUAUGAUAGAGGUAAGUGGAAUUUCUAGUGUAGAGGUGAAAUUCGUAGAUAUUAGAAAGAACACCAAAUGCGAAGGCAACUUACUGGGUCAUCACUGACACUGAGGAGCGAAAGCAUGGGUAGCGAAGAGGAUUAGAUACCCUCGUAGUCCAUGCCGUAAACGAUGUGUGCUAGACGUUGGAAAUAUAUUUUUCAGUGUCGCAGCGAAAGCAUUAAGCACACCGCCUGGGGAGUACGACCGCAAGGUUAAAACUCAAAUGAAUUGACGG
This 559-nucleotide ribosomal RNA is filed under the name uncultured bacterium. RNAcentral's name for it is "bacterial SSU rRNA". It matches the Rfam family "Bacterial small subunit ribosomal RNA", at positions 338 to 916 of the family's 1533-position model. The record is from RNAcentral.